AUUGAACGCUAGCGGCAUGCCUUACACAUGCAAGUCGAACGGCAGCACGGGGGCAACCCUGGUGGCGAGUGGCGAACGGGUGAGUAAUGCAUCGGAACGUGCCCAUCGAUGGGGGAUAACUGCGCGAAAGCGUUGCUAAUACCGCAUACGACCUACGGGUGAAAGCAGGGGACCGCAAGGCCUUGCGUCGAUGGAGCGGCCGAUGCCGGAUUAGCUAGUUGGUGAGGUAGAGGCUCACCAAGGCGACGAUCCGUAGCUGGUCUGAGAGGACGACCCAGCCACACUGGGACUGAGACACGGCCCAGACUCCUACGGGAGGCAGCAGUGGGGAAUAUUGGACAAUGGGCGAAAGCCUGAUCCAGCAAUGCCGCGUGUGUGAAGAAGGCCUGCGGGUUGUAAAGCACUUUCAGUAGGGAAGAAAAGCCUAAGGUUAAUACCCUUGAGUCUUGACGUUACCUACAGAAGAAGCACCGGCUAACUCCGUG
This 485-nucleotide ribosomal RNA is filed under the name uncultured bacterium. RNAcentral's name for it is "bacterial SSU rRNA". It matches the Rfam family "Bacterial small subunit ribosomal RNA", at positions 29 to 507 of the family's 1533-position model. The record is from RNAcentral.